AACGAACGCUGGCGGCAUGCCUAACACAUGCCAGUCGAACGAGACCUUCGGGUCUAGUGGCGCACGGGUGCGUAACGCGUGGGAACCUGCCCUUAGGUUCGGAAUAACUCCCCGAAAGGGGUGCUAAUACCGGAUAAUGUCUUCGGACCAAAGAUUUAUCGCCUUUGGAUGGGCCCGCGUUGGAUUAGCUAGUUGGUAGGGUAAAAGCCUACCAAGGCGACGAUCCAUAGCUGGUCUGAGAGGAUGAUCAGCCACACUGGGACUGAGACACGGCCCAGACUCCUUCGGGAGGCAGCAGUGGGGAAUAUUGGACAAUGGGCGAAAGCCUGAUCCAGCAAUGCCGCGUGAGUGAUGAAGGCCUUAGGGUUGUAAAGCUCUUUUACCCGGGAUGAUAAUGACAGUACCGGGAGAAUAAGCUCCGGCUAACUCCGUG
This 433-nucleotide ribosomal RNA is filed under the name uncultured bacterium. Its description in RNAcentral is "partial 16S ribosomal RNA". It matches the Rfam family "Bacterial small subunit ribosomal RNA", at positions 29 to 507 of the family's 1533-position model. The record is from RNAcentral.